AUGGUGCGAUCGAAGAUGGUGAUGGGUCCAUCAAGUAAUGGCUUACCCAUGGAAGGUGUUACAUGGUACCACACCAAAUCAGAUUCUUCAUACGACUUCAUCACAAUCUUAAAACUGGAAGCCCUGCUUAGCCAAUGGGCUGCUACUGGGAAAUGGACGGGAUUGGGAGAAGAAGAAGGGCGGACGAUGAUGGUCUGUGGUAGAAGGAUAGAGCAGAAGAUGAAUAGUAGUCGCGGAUGUUGGUUUCCGGUUGGAGAAGACAACGGGUUGGAUGUACUGUUACGGUUGUUGUGA
Molecule: non-coding RNA, 294 nt
Organism: Vicia faba (fava bean)
Lineage: Eukaryota; Viridiplantae; Streptophyta; Magnoliopsida; Fabales; Fabaceae
Source: the annotation of a GenBank genome assembly